GGCAACAAUCUAAUGGAGAAUACUUGCUUGCAAAGCAAGAAAACUCAGUUCGAUUCUGAGUGUUGCCU
RNAcentral lists this transfer RNA (68 nucleotides) under Nitzschia sp. PL3-2. RNAcentral describes it as "tRNA-Cys". It matches the Rfam family "tRNA". Rfam says of the family: Transfer RNA (tRNA) molecules are approximately 80 nucleotides in length. Their secondary structure includes four short double-helical elements and three loops (D, anti-codon, and T loops). Lineage: Eukaryota; Bacillariophyta; Bacillariophyceae; Bacillariales; Bacillariaceae. The record is from RNAcentral.